RNAcentral lists this ribosomal RNA (254 nucleotides) under uncultured bacterium. RNAcentral describes it as "partial 16S ribosomal RNA". It matches the Rfam family "Bacterial small subunit ribosomal RNA", at positions 524 to 776 of the family's 1533-position model. The record is from RNAcentral.
UACAGAGGUCUCAAGCGUUGUUCGGAUUCAUUGGGCGUAAAGGGUGUGUAGGUGGCGCGCUAAGUCGGGUGUGAAAUUUCGGAGCUUAACUCCGAAACUGCAUUCGAUACUGGCGUGCUUGAGGACUGGAGAGGAGACUGGAAUUUGACGGUGUAGCGGUGAAAUGCGUAGAUAUCGAGAGGAACACCUGCGGCGAAGGCGGGUUGCUGGGCUGAUACUGACGCUGAGGCGCGAAAGCCAGGGGAGCGAACGGG